This is a non-coding RNA of Macaca mulatta (Rhesus monkey), 652 nucleotides long. The record is from RefSeq and is a predicted model, not a curated record. Lineage: Eukaryota; Metazoa; Chordata; Mammalia; Primates; Cercopithecidae.
GGCACAGCCAGCCCCGGCACAGUGUGCUCACUCAGGAGAGAAAGCCUCUAGGCCGUCACUGACUCACCUGUGUGUGCAGCUGUGCCUUCUCCCAAUGUCAGUUCUCUUGCCCACCAUUGCUCCAGGAGAUGCGAUUCCACUCCCAGCACCCUGCUUCUGACUCUGAUCCUGACUCAGCUGCCUGAGCCAAGGGCUGGGGAACAGACAGGGAUAUUGGACUGUGCUCUUCAGCAUCCAAAGGGGACAUGUGCUGCCUGCCAGGGCUCUGGAAAGCUUCCCCAGGGUGAGAAAACAGAGACUCGGAGCAUUAAAAUGACUUGUUCAAGGUCCCAGCAUUACAAAUCAGAUCAAACCAUGGAUGAAUGGAUCCAGCCUUUGUGUCUGUUUGCCCUUCAGUUGCAGAUGUCGGGAAAGGAGCUGAGCAGGAAGAGAAAGGGAGCCAGCACUGUGCUGGGGUCUUUACGCCUCACCGAAUCCACAGCCAGUCCUGCAGCAGUAGAGAGCGAGUCUUCUUCCCCCUGCUUUCACCAGCCCUGGGAGCCAGCCAUCACCUCCUUCUGUGCCAACCUGAAGGGUGACAAUUAAUUCGCUUCAGUGUUAUUUUUACUUGAGUUGGCCUGCUUACAAAUGACGUUGAACUGCUUUUCAUGUU